This 173-nucleotide unclassified non-coding RNA is filed under the name uncultured Meliniomyces. RNAcentral's name for it is "sequence contains ITS1". Lineage: Eukaryota; Fungi; Ascomycota; Leotiomycetes; Helotiales; Helotiaceae. The record is from RNAcentral.
UUAUAGCCCCGUUUUUGUCGCAAGAUUUAAGAAUGGGUUCAAUACCCAAAACCGUGUCUACUUACCUUUGUUGCUUUGGCAGGCCGCCUUCGGGCGUCGGCUCCGGCUGAUCAGCGCCUGCCAGAGGCCCAAAACUCUGCGUUUAGUGAUGUCUGAGUACUAUAAAAUAUUUA